GAUGAAGAACGCAGCGAAAUGCGAUACGUAAUGUGAAUUGCAGAAUUCAGUGAAUCAUCGAAUCUUUGAACGCAUAUUGCGCUCUCUGGUAUUCCGGAGAGCAUGCUUGUUUGAGUAUCAGUAAACACCUCAACUUCCAUAUCUUUUUUGAAAUGGGAGUUGGACUUGAGUGAUCCCAACGCUUUUCCUCACCGAAAAGUGGCGGGUUACUUGAAAUGCAGGUGCAGCUGGACUUUUCUCUGAGCUAUAAGCAUAUCUAUUUAGUCUGCCUAAAAAACAGAUUAUUACCUUUGCUGCAGCUAACAUAAAGGAGAUUAGUUCUUGUGUUGACUGAUGCAGGAUUCACAAAGACGGCUUCGGCCGACUUUGUAAACUCGAUCUCAAAUCAAGUAAGACUACCCGCUGAACUUAAGCAUAUCAAUAAGCGGAGGA
RNAcentral lists this unclassified non-coding RNA (432 nucleotides) under soil metagenome. RNAcentral's name for it is "partial contains 5.8S ribosomal RNA, internal transcribed spacer 2, and large subunit ribosomal RNA". The stretch from base 1 to 120 matches the Rfam family "5.8S ribosomal RNA", at positions 35 to 154 of the family's 154-position model. The record is from RNAcentral.